Myxocyprinus asiaticus (Chinese sucker) is the source of this 2284-nucleotide long non-coding RNA. RefSeq lists it as uncharacterized. The transcript has 4 exons. The record is from RefSeq and is a predicted model, not a curated record. NCBI's taxonomy places the organism in Eukaryota, Metazoa, Chordata, Actinopteri, Cypriniformes, Catostomidae.
CAAAUUUUCUUGAGGAGUUGGAUGUCCUGCUGUCCUCCUUGCCGGAGGAUGGUAGGCCACUUAUGGUUCUUGGUGAUUUCAACAUACACCAAGACAAGCCCCAGGCCACUGAAUUGAAUACUCUCCUGGCCUCAUUUGACUUGGAAAAACUACACACCAAAGCAACUCACAGAUCGGGCAACCAGCUGGACCUCAUCUUUACACGCCAGCACGUGCUACACCACCCAGCCCCUGGCUGUCUGACGUCCUUCGUGAACAUCGGACUGACCUCAGGGCAGCUGAGAGGAGAUGGCGGAAAUCUAAAGAUCCAGCAGAUCUAGAACAAGCUGCUGGAUGACAAUCAGUCAGGCUUUAAAAGUGGACACUCCACCAAGACCGCCCUGCUGUUUGUCGCUGAGACGGGCGAAAGCUGAAUCCAGAUCAUCAGUCCUAAUUCUGCUGGACCUUUCUGCAGCCUUCGACACAGUCAACCAUCAGAUCUUACUCUCUACCCUCUCCUCGCUGGGCAUCACAGGAACUGUGCUUGACUGGUUUAAUUCCUAUCUCUCAGCCCAACGACACCACAGUGACUGCUCGAAUAUCUGCCUGCCUGGCGGACAUCUCGGCCUGGAUUAAGGAGCACCACCUGCAACUAAACCCAGCCAAGACUGAACUCCUUGUCUUUCCAGCCAACCCUGAUGUUGAACACAACAUCACCGCGCAGCUGGGUGCAAGAAUCGGUCAGAAAUCUAGGGGUAACCAUCGACAACAGACUAAAUUUCACAGACCACAUCUCAAAGACUGCAAGAUCAUGUAGAUUUACACUCUACAACAUCAGGAAGAUAAGACCCUUCCUCUCUGAACAUGCCACACAACUGCUUGUCCAGUCACUUGUCAUAACUAGACGGGACUACUGUAACGCUCUCAUUGCAGGCCUCCCUGCAUGUGCAACUAGACCUCUCCAAAUGAUCCAGAAUGCAGCAGCAUGUCUGGUCUUUAAUUAACCAAAGAGAGCGCGUUACACCACUCCUUGUCUCUCUUCACUGGCUGCCGGUUGAUGCACAUAUCAAAUUCAAGGCUCUAAUGCUGGCAUACAGAACAGUCACUGGGUCUGCUCCAGCAUACCUAAAAUCAUUUAUGCAGAGCUACGCGCCCACUAGAAGUCUGCGGUCGGCUAAGGAACGUCGCCUUGUUGUACCAACACAAAGAGGCACCAAAACACUUUCCCAGACUUUCAGCUUCAUCAUACCAUGUUGGUGGAACGACCUUCCCAACUCCAUCCGUGAAGCUGACUCACUCUCUGUCUUCAAAAAACAACUAAAACACAUCUUUUCCAUGAGCACUUAACUAGUCAUUAAAAAAAAAAAACUUCUGUUGCACUUUAUUCUAUUUUGAAUACAAUUAUGAUGCUAGUGAUACUUUGUAAUACAGCACUUUUCAUACCACUGUCUCCUAAGAUGAUUCGCUUAUGUUUUCCUCUCUUGUAAGUCGCUUUGGAUAAAAGCGUCUGCCAAAUGAAUAAAUCUAAAUGUAAUUCAUUUCUAUUCUAAGUUCUCAGGAUACAGAGUCAGUUGGUCUAAAUCCGAAGCUUUGGCUCUGACAGCGUACUGCCCAGUAACAGCUUUUCAGCCGGGCGACUUCCAGUGGCCCAAACAGGGCAUUAAGUAUUUGGGCAUUUUAUACCAGCAAAUUUGUCUGAUUUAGUUGAGUUAAUUUUGAACCCUUAAUAAAAAGGUUUGAGCAAUGUGGGCAGGUGGGCUUCAUUACAUUUAUCUAUGAUUGUGAAGGUUAAUGUUAUUCAAAUUAAUUGUAUUCCAAAAUUCAACUACCUGCUACAAUCUCUCCCUGUAGAUGUCCCCCUCUCCUAUUUCAAACAAUUUGAUAGCAUAGCGAAGUCCUUCAUUUGGAAUGGUAAGCAUCCCAGAUUACAUUUUAAUAAGUUACAUAGGCUGAUUGACAAAGGUGGGCUAGACCUACCCAAGAUUUUGUUUUAUUAUUAUGCAUUCAGUCUCAGAAAUUUGGCUUAUCGAUCGCUUCCACCUGAGAGAGGCCUUCCCUGGUUUUGUAUUGAACAGGAAGUUAUUGCCCCUAUUUCGCCAUUGCAAAGCCUUUCUAUCAAACUAACCGGAGAAGUUAAGUUACAUCCCAUUUUCUUGCAUUUUGCACUCGGUAUGGACAAAAGUGUACAGAGUGUUUAAUUCGGACAUUUAUUUAAAUGUUGCCUUGAGAAUAUGGCUGAACCCCAAAUUAUGUAUUAAUAAAUCCCCUUUUUGCUGGUCAGAGUGGAUCGUGAGGGGGGUUACUA